CAGCCGCCGCGGUAAUACGUAGGGUGCUAGCGUUAAUCGGAUUUACUGGGCGUAAAGCGUGCGCAGGCGGCCCGUUAAGACAGGUGCGAAAUCCCUGGGCUCAACCUAGGAAUUGCGCUUGUGACUGGCGGGCUCGAGUACGGUAGAGGGGGGUGGAAUUCCUGGUGUAGCAGUGAAAUGCGUAGAGAUCAGGAGGAACACCGAUGGCGAAGGCAGCCCCCUGGGCCUGUACUGACGCUCAUGCACGAAAGCGUGGGGAGCAAACAGGAUUAGAUACCCUGGUAGUCCACGCCCUAAACGAUGGGUACUAGCCGUUUGGUGCGCGAUAGCGCUGAGUGGCGAAGCUAACGCGUGAAGUACCCCGCCUGGGGAGUACGGCCGCAAGGUUGAAACUUAAAGGAAUUGGCGGG
Molecule: ribosomal RNA, 410 nt
Filed under: uncultured microorganism
Description: bacterial SSU rRNA
Rfam family: Bacterial small subunit ribosomal RNA
Source: RNAcentral